Molecule: long non-coding RNA, 808 nt
Organism: Mytilus californianus (California mussel)
Lineage: Eukaryota; Metazoa; Mollusca; Bivalvia; Mytilida; Mytilidae
Exons: 2
Source: RefSeq, a predicted model, not a curated record
AAUCCAUCAAAACCAAUAGAUUUACUAGAAAAUUAUUUUAAAUGGUGCAAAACUGCUUUAUAAUUGGACAGAAGUUUGUCUUCUGAUAUAGUUCUGUUACUAGCCAUCUCAUUUUGGUUGUCAUUGAUGCAUAUGGUUUGUCAGGCUAGGUCAAUGAAAGCAAAGAAAGACUGGCUAAACAAAAAACCUCUUUAAGUAAGAAAAUUUAACAAUAGACACACAUGACUUCCAUUCAUGAUAAUUUAUAACAACCACCUUAUUAUAUUUUCUAGUUGACAACUCAGCUGCAUUGCCAGAGGAGAGUGCAACAAAUUCCCAGGACCUGUUUGAUACCCCUCCAAGCCAUCCACUGUCCCUAUCUGGAUCUGAUUCCAUUCAUCAGCCAGUACCAAUUCUACCAGCUGUAAAUAUCCAGGUGCCAUGCCCAGCAGCUGCAGUAGUUGAGUUGGGGACUCUAACAACACAGAAAGCAGUAAAUCAAAAGAAGAGGAAAGCAACUGCUGAUGAUGUUUAUGAGCUACAGAUACUGUAUUUGAAGGGAGAAAUGGCAAAGCAGACUAAAGAGAUGAGGAAAUUAGAUCUUCAGAUAGAGUUGCUGGAAGAAAUGAAACGAGACAAAGAGAAUACUCCACUAACAUUUUCUCAACUUUUAAUGAAUUAAAUUAUUUAUUUUUCUUAUCAAUCAACAAUUAUUUUCCCAAAAAAAUGCAUGUGUACGGUACCAAGUCACAAAUGAUGUUUAGGACUCAAUUUCUUCGUUCAAUAAUAUUUUGCUUUUUUUUUAUUUUGAUUUGAUAUAUAUACCACU